UUGACGGAGAGUUUGAUCCUGGCUCAGGACGAACGCUGGCGGCGUGCUUAAUACAUGCAAGUCGAACGCUCUCGACCUUCGGGUCACUGAGAGAGUGGCGAACGGGUGCGUAACACGUGAGAAACCUACCCUGAAGACGGGAAUAGCCCGAGGAAACUCGGAUUAAUACCCGAUAUCUCCACACUGUCGCAUGACAGAGUGAAGAAAGUUCAGGCGCUUCGGGAGGGUCUCGCGGCCUAUCAGCUUGUUGGUGAGGUAACGGCUCACCAAGGCAUCGACGGGUAGCUGGUCUGAGAGGAUGAUCAGCCACACUGGGACUGAGACACGGCCCAGACUCCUACGGGAGGCA
This 349-nucleotide ribosomal RNA is filed under the name Acidimicrobiaceae bacterium. RNAcentral describes it as "bacterial SSU rRNA". It matches the Rfam family "Bacterial small subunit ribosomal RNA", at positions 1 to 350 of the family's 1533-position model. The record is from RNAcentral. Lineage: Bacteria; Bacillati; Actinomycetota; Acidimicrobiia; Acidimicrobiales; Acidimicrobiaceae.